GACGGAGCGGGGGGGCUGGUUUUGGGGCGGCUCUCGGGUCGGAAACAUGGCGGCCGGAUGCGAACCCCCGCGGAGCGCAGCAAAGCGCUGACGGCGGGCUGCCGAACUGUUGUGUGGUUUCAACUCCCUUUUAUUCCUCGGCUCGGAGCGCCUCGCGGGAGAAUGUUGCGUCUUCGUGGAGGCCAACAGCUAAACGAAAAGACAGCCUUCUGGGCUGCCCACUGGCGAGGAUUUGGGCUCCUGAAGGUGUGGGCCAGCUCCCGUGGGCCACCUUGAGAAGGGCCCCAGUGCACAAAGAAGACGGCUUUGGAGCAAGAAUUUGGAAUAUGCAUUUAAGUUGUCGUGCUUUGCAUUGGAAACCCCUGGGCAAUUAAAAUAAGCCUGCCUUGUAGUGUUUUCUGUCCUUUUCUUAUGUGUGGUUCGUGCAAGUCAAAGGGGAUGGAGACCCUUCUACAGUUUGGAAACUUGUUUUGAAAUAGCCACCAAACAGAUUUUUACCCCUUUGGGUGAAGUUUGCUUCCAGGGUUCAGCCUCUUCACCCCACCCCCUGAC
Molecule: long non-coding RNA, 552 nt
Organism: Bos taurus (domestic cattle)
Lineage: Eukaryota; Metazoa; Chordata; Mammalia; Artiodactyla; Bovidae
Source: Ensembl